RNAcentral lists this ribosomal RNA (454 nucleotides) under uncultured organism. RNAcentral describes it as "partial 16S ribosomal RNA". It matches the Rfam family "Bacterial small subunit ribosomal RNA", at positions 329 to 799 of the family's 1533-position model. The record is from RNAcentral.
ACGUACACUCCUGCGGGAGGCAGCAGUGGGGAAUAUUGGACAAUGGGCGCAAGCCUGAUCCAGCCAUGCCGCGUGAGUGAUGAAGGCCCUAGGGUUGUAAAGCUCUUUUGUGCGGGAAGAUAAUGACGGUACCGCAAGAAUAAGCCCCGGCUAACUUCGUGCCAGCAGCCGCGGUAAUACGAAGGGGGCUAGCGUUGCUCAGAAUCACUGGGCGUAAAGGGUGCGUAGGCGGGUCUUUAAGUCAGGGGUGAAAUCCUGGAGCUCAACUCCAGAACUGCCUUUGAUACUGAAGAUCUUGAGUUCGGGAGAGGUGAGUGGAACUGCGAGUGUAGAGGUGAAAUUCGUAGACAUUCGCAAGAACACCAGUGGCGAAGGCGGCUCACUGGCCCGAUACUGACGCUGAGGCACGAAAGCGUGGGGAGCAAACAGGAUUAGAUACCCUAGUAGUCCCAUG